Molecule: ribosomal RNA, 252 nt
Filed under: uncultured bacterium
Lineage: Bacteria
Description: partial 16S ribosomal RNA
Rfam family: Bacterial small subunit ribosomal RNA
Source: RNAcentral
UACGUAGGUCCCGAGCGUUGUCCGGAUUUAUUGAGCGUAAAGCGAGCGCAGGUGGUUUAUUAAGUCUGGUGUAAAAGGCAGUGGCUCAACCAUUGUAUGCAUUGGAAACUGGUAGACUUGAGUGCAGGAGAGGAGAGUGGAAUUCCAUGUGUAGCGGUGAAAUGCGUAGAUAUAUGGAGGAACACCGGUGGCAAAAGCGGCUCUCUGGCCUGUAACUGACACUGAGGCUCGAAAGCGUGGGGAGCAAACAGG